This 76-nucleotide transfer RNA is filed under the name Nitrospira sp. HN-bin3. RNAcentral's name for it is "tRNA-Ala". It matches the Rfam family "tRNA". Rfam says of the family: Transfer RNA (tRNA) molecules are approximately 80 nucleotides in length. Lineage: Bacteria; Pseudomonadati; Nitrospirota; Nitrospiria; Nitrospirales; Nitrospiraceae. The record is from RNAcentral. RNAcentral also lists the same sequence under 4 other names.
GGGGCUGUAGCUCAGCUGGGAGAGCACCUGCUUUGCAAGCAGGGGGUCGGCGGUUCGAUCCCGCUCAGCUCCACCA